AACGCGAAGAACCUUACCUGGGCUUGAACCGCUACUGACCAAGGGUAGAAAUAUCCUCUUCCCGCAAGGGACAGUAGUAGAGGUGCUGCAUGGCUGUCGUCAGCUCGUGCCGUGAGGUGUUGGGUUAAGUCCCGCAACGAGCGCAACCCUUACUCGUAGUUGCCACCCGCAAGGGGGAACUCUACGAGGACUGCUCCGGAUAACGGAGAGGAAGGUGGGGAUGACGUCAAGUCAGCACGGCCUUUAUGUCCAGGGCUACACACGUGUUACAAUGCAUGGUACAGACUGUUGCGAACCCGCGAGGGGGAGCUAAUCGGACAAAACCAUGCUCAGUUCGGAUUGCAGUCUGCAACUCGGCUGCAUGAAGCUGGAAUCGCUAGUAAUGGCGUAUCAGAUCGACGCCGUGAAUACGUUCCCGGGCCUUGUACACACCGGCUAC
RNAcentral lists this ribosomal RNA (439 nucleotides) under uncultured bacterium. RNAcentral describes it as "bacterial SSU rRNA". It matches the Rfam family "Bacterial small subunit ribosomal RNA", at positions 958 to 1397 of the family's 1533-position model. The record is from RNAcentral.